Molecule: long non-coding RNA, 281 nt
Organism: Eubalaena glacialis (North Atlantic right whale)
Lineage: Eukaryota; Metazoa; Chordata; Mammalia; Artiodactyla; Balaenidae
Exons: 2
Source: RefSeq, a predicted model, not a curated record
ACCACCGGCUGGGCCUUCUGGGUCCCCGGCGCGGGUAGGUCGCGCUGGUUCCGUGGAACAGCGGCUGGUGAAGGCCCCGUGGCGGCCUCCAUGCCCAAGACCUCCGGGCCUAGAGAGGUAAGGGUGGAUCUGCAGAGACUGAGUAUGAGGAUUUCUGGCAUGUGACUCAGUCCUCAUUGCUCCUGGCUCCCCAUUCUGCCCUCUUUGGAAUCUGCUGGCCCUGAGAGAUCUGUGAAAAGAGGAGAAAAUGGCCCCAGCGUUCCUGGCAGCAAGACCCUCAG